GACGUAAGGCGCGAGCGUUGUCCGGAUUUAUUGGGCGUAAAGAGCGUGUAGGCGGCCUGAAAGGUCAGCUGUGAAAACUCGAGGCUUAACCUCGAGACGUCGGUUGAAACCAUCUGGCUAGAGUCCGGAAGAGGAGUGUGGAAUUCCCGGUGUAGCGGUGAAAUGCGCAGAUAUCGGGAAGAACACCCGUGGCGAAGGCGGCACUCUGGGACGGUACUGACGCUGAGACGCGAAAGCGUGGGGAGCGAACAGG
RNAcentral lists this ribosomal RNA (253 nucleotides) under uncultured bacterium. Its description in RNAcentral is "partial 16S ribosomal RNA". It matches the Rfam family "Bacterial small subunit ribosomal RNA", at positions 524 to 776 of the family's 1533-position model. The record is from RNAcentral.